RNAcentral lists this ribosomal RNA (497 nucleotides) under uncultured bacterium. RNAcentral's name for it is "partial 16S ribosomal RNA". It matches the Rfam family "Bacterial small subunit ribosomal RNA", at positions 28 to 507 of the family's 1533-position model. The record is from RNAcentral.
GAUGAACGCUGGCGGCGUGCUUAAUACAUGCAAGUCGAGCGAACAGACGAGGAGCUUGCUCGUCUGACGUUAGGGGAGGACGUGUGUGUAACACGUGUAUAACCUACCUAUCAGACUGGGAUAACUUCGGGAAACCGGAGCUAACACCGGAUAAUAUAUUGAACCGUAUGGUUCGAUAGUGAAAGACGGUUUUGCUGUCACUUAUAGAUGGAUCUGGGCCGCAUGAGCUAGUUGGUAAGGUAACGGCUUAUCAAGGCGACGAUGCGUAGCCGACCUGUGAGGGUGAUCGGCCACACUGGAGCUGGGACACGGACCAGAGUCCUGCGGGAGGCAGCAGUAGGGAAUGUGCCGCAGUAGGCGAAAGUAUGACGGAGCGACGCGGAGUGAGUGAUGAAAGUGCUCGGAGCGGAAAGCUGUGUUAUUAGGGGAGAACAAAUGUGUAAGUAGCUAUGCACGUCUUGACGGUACCUGGUCAGGAAGCCACGGCUAACUACGUG